ACAGGGAAUUAUAAUAUAAAAAUGGCAUUAUCAAUUGAUGAAUUAAAUAAAAUAAAUAGUAAUAUUAACGGUGAAUUCAACGAUAUUAUGCGAAGGUCAGUUUCCUCGUUGGAAAUUGAUACACAAUAUCCGAUAAAAAAACUAUCUUUUGUCAAUACACGUUUUGGAAAGUCCAUUUUAGCUAUAUUGUUUGAUGAAAAGUGUAAUUUAAAUUUCAAGUGUUUUUUACCAAAGAGGGUUACAGAACACAUAACAGAGGAUAUUUUGAAUAAAAUGAAUUCCUCUUGGGAACAAUAUACGAUAACUUAUUUAGGUCAAAGUGAGCCUGCAUUUAAAGAUGGUAAAUGUAAAGCGUUGUUAAAAUUUGGAAUUGUCAUUUAAUUUUUGUUUAUUUAAUUUAAAUAAAAAUAUAUAUAUCUAGUAGUAACAAAUAUGUUUUAUAUAUAGAGUAUAUUCUAGUCAAUAUAAGUAAUUUACACUAUUUAGUCAGUAUAAUAAUAUAAGGUGGCUUCUCUGUUAAUGUUUUAUAAUUCCAAUAGAACAACUAUUGAAAAUGUGGAUGCAUUAUGCUAGUCAAAAUUGGACCGAUGCUGAGGACCUCCAGUCAGCCGUAAAGAGAUUGAUGAAUGAGCUAGAUUGUGUGGCAAUAGAUUGUCUUCACGCAUCUAAUUAUGACAUGAAUUACUGCUUCUCUGAAGAAAAAAUUAAACAGUUGGAGGAGGAUUAUGAAAAACAUCGCCGUGGUGCAUCAUUAUGUAGUAAUUAUUUAAGUGAAACUAUAAAUUUGGACAAUUUUUGCGUGAAAAUGGUUGAGAUAGGACUAAAACAAUUUGUUAUUUCUAUUUUGUUGGAUUAUCUACCAUAUGCAACGGUUGUAAAAUACAAAUUAGCAGCUCAAGAAAAUAAUGCUGGUAAUGAAGAUGAUAUAUUAUAACAUAUCAUUAAAUUUUUAUGUAAUUUAUAUAUUAUCUUA
Molecule: RNA transcript, 973 nt
Organism: Anoplophora glabripennis (Asian longhorned beetle)
Lineage: Eukaryota; Metazoa; Arthropoda; Insecta; Coleoptera; Cerambycidae
Exons: 2
Source: RefSeq, a predicted model, not a curated record